Schistocerca gregaria is the source of this 72-nucleotide non-coding RNA. Lineage: Eukaryota; Metazoa; Arthropoda; Insecta; Orthoptera; Acrididae. The record is from the annotation of a RefSeq genome assembly.
GUCUAGGUAGCUCAGGGGUAGAGCGGAGGUCUGAAAAACCUUAGGUCAGUAGUUCGAUUCUACUUCUAGACA